AUCCUUUCUUUGGCUCAUGAGCACGAUGCUUGAGUGUUCACACUGUUGAGUGGCAUGUGUUGCCCACAAACCUUGAUACCACAUAAGAACGAUACCCAUCUGGUG
Molecule: small nucleolar RNA, 105 nt
Organism: Mus caroli (Ryukyu mouse)
Lineage: Eukaryota; Metazoa; Chordata; Mammalia; Rodentia; Muridae
Product: small nucleolar RNA U13
Source: RefSeq, a predicted model, not a curated record